Molecule: ribosomal RNA, 253 nt
Filed under: uncultured prokaryote
Description: partial 16S ribosomal RNA
Rfam family: Bacterial small subunit ribosomal RNA
Source: RNAcentral
ACAGAGGGGGCAAGCGUUGUUCGGAAUUACUGGGCGUAAAGGGCGCGUAGGCGGCCUGCUAAGUCGAACGUGAAAUCCCCGAGCUCAACUCGGGAACUGCGUCCGAUACUGGUUGGCUUGAAUCCGGGAGAGGGAUGCGGAAUUCCAGGUGUAGCGGUGAAAUGCGUAGAUAUGCCAUAGAACACCAAUUGCGAAGGCAGCUGGCUAGACCUGGAUUGACGCUGAGGCACGAAAGCGUGGGGAUCAAACAGGA